AAGUAAAAUAUACUUAUUUUUACAAAAUCCACAUCAGACCCUAAAAUUGAUGGCUUCAAUUUUCAAUUUCAUUAUUCAUUCAUAGACAUCUAUGAAGUUUAAACAUCUAUUUCAUGUUGUGAAAGGAACCAACUUUUGAAGCAAAAUCAAUUCAUUUCUGGACACAUGUACCUUAAGCAGUACCAAUUUCAGUAAAGACUCGAG
This 204-nucleotide long non-coding RNA is filed under the name Olea europaea (common olive). RNAcentral's name for it is "long non-coding RNA (OEUR_LNC012611)". Lineage: Eukaryota; Viridiplantae; Streptophyta; Magnoliopsida; Lamiales; Oleaceae. The record is from RNAcentral.